UAUGAUAAUGUGCUGCAGUUCUUCCCCAAGUCAGAGGCGGCGCUAUGGCUGGUAUUGGCUUGGACACCACAUACAGAAGAUGCUUGUCGUUUAUAGAAGUGAUGUCAUGAACCACGUGAUUUUUCUCACUGGUAGGCAAAAGCAACAAUGGGGAGUGUCAACAAAGUGAAUUACUGUAUCAGAAAAUCUCAACAAUGCUCCGAUUAUGCACGAAAGCUACAGUUUGAAGUCCGAAAGCGGUACUUUGAGAAGCUGGGAUAUCCUGACGAUACAUGUAUCUUACCCGAUCCUUACAAUUUGAAGAAUGGAUGGGUUCGCGAUCCGUCUUUGUGGCCGGACAUUACUUUCACCGAUAUAUUUCUACCUCGUCGAUACGUCCGGACAGUUCACUCACAAUAGUUUGAAGGCAUACAAGUCCCUCAAAGCCGAUGAAUACGUAAAAAGUGGACACGUGCAUCCCGUGUUAUGUUUCAACGUAGAGCAGUUGCCGCAUUGUUUUUUUUUAAGACAAAGGUCACCCUUCUCAGCGACUUCGGGACAAACCUCAUCAACCAUGGACGUGCUUAAACAAAUCUGAGGGGACUGUUUACUUUGCACACUGUACAUGUAUGGCAGUGUAAGAUGGUUUAUUUAAAUUUGUUUUUGACUGUGUAUACAUUUAUUAGACGAAAAAUCCAAAAUAUGUUAGAAAUGUGGAUUGAUGACGUUAUUUCAGGAUACCAUCUGCAAUGCCCCUCAUCUGGCAGGGACACAAAAACUUUAUGAUGUAAAAAUUGUUUUAAUUGAAAUGUUGGAUUCAUACCUCAUUGUAUCUUUGACAAGUCUAGGUGAUGUAUGCAGUCAUGUUGCAGCGCUCUUGUUCAAGGUUGAUGCAGCUGUCCGUGCUAGUCUUACAUCAACAGCAUGCACAAGUGAAGCUUUCAAGUGGAAUGCAUCAUACAGAGAAGAGCUCAAUCCAAUACCAAUGACGUUGAUAUCAUGAGAAGUCAAAAGACUGAUAUUUCAACGACAUCAGCAACAGGGAAAGCUCUGCUACCAGACAGGAAUACCCUCCAAUCACUAAGAGAUGUUUGCCCUGAUGCAGUUUUCUUCAAAACCAUUCCUUCACUGGAUGAGGAAGAAAGAGACGCAGGAGAGGAAGAAGAAGAAACAAGGUCCUUCCCACCAACCAUCACAAGUCUGAUAUCUGAGGAAGAUAUCACAGAGGAUAACAUCAAAUCUGUUUAUGAGAAACAGUGGAGUUCUUACAAAUGCACUGAGGAACAAAUUAUUAACCUUGAAAAUGUGACAAAACAUCCAGCUGUAAGCCCCAUUUGGUACGAAUACAGGAAAGGUCGAAUAAGAGGAACUAAGGCUCAUGACAUCUUUGUCAUGAAGGCAACAGUUUACCCAAAGAAUAAUAUUGUGAAGGUAAUGGGAUACAAGAGUUGGGAUAUUUCAAAGAAGGCUGCAGUGGCAUGGGGCACAGAUAACGAGGCACGUGCAAGAAAUCUUUAUUCUAAACAAGCGGCCAAGAGUCAUUUCAAUUUUGAUUGCACAACAAUUGGAUUGUUAAUCUGUCAAACCAGACCCUACAUGGCAGUUUCAUGUGAUGGAAUUGUUUCAUGUACAUGUAGUGGGAAAGGAUGUGUGGAGGUGAAAUGUCCCUACAAACACAGGGAUAGUAAUGUAGGUCAUGCUUCAAAAGACAAUUUAUUUUGUCUCGACAAGGACUUGAAAAAAGGACACAGAUAAUAUACACAAGUGCAAUUUCAAAUGUAUAUCCAGAAAGUAUCUUACUGUGAUCUUGUGGUUUAUACAAACUUAGACAUGGCAAUUGUAAGAAUUCUAUGAGAUGAUACAUUUACAUCAAUUCUUUUGUCAAAAUGUGAUACAUUUUUCUUUGACCAUGUCCUUCCUGAAGUUGUAUCUAGAAAACUUGAGAACAGCAGACCAGAACAUAGAGACAUUAUUCCUGACAAGGAGUUAGUGGAAAAUGUGUGGUGCUUCUGUCAGGAGGAGGAGCAUGGACGUAUGAUCAUGUGUGAUGGUGCUUAUUGUCCAUACACCAGGUUUCACUAUGAGUGUGUAUACAUUAGAAGAAAGCCAAAAGGAUCUUGGUUUUGUCCAAGUUGUGUGAUGGGAUAGCCAGUGUUGCGUACUUGCCAUUACACAAAGAAAAUUAUUGUUUUCUGUUUUCAUUUGCAGUAAUGGACAAUAAAAAUGUACCUAUUUUAUCAUUAAGGUAUGUAAUUGAAUCUGUUGUGUACAGACAUAUCAAACGGAUCUGUUAAACAUUAAAAUAUUAGG
Syngnathoides biaculeatus (alligator pipefish) is the source of this 2289-nucleotide long non-coding RNA. RefSeq lists it as uncharacterized. The record is from RefSeq and is a predicted model, not a curated record. The transcript has 3 exons. NCBI's taxonomy places the organism in Eukaryota, Metazoa, Chordata, Actinopteri, Syngnathiformes, Syngnathidae.